Molecule: long non-coding RNA, 1016 nt
Filed under: Numida meleagris (helmeted guineafowl)
Lineage: Eukaryota; Metazoa; Chordata; Aves; Galliformes; Numididae
Description: lncRNA (ENSNMEG00000015146.1)
Source: RNAcentral
UCCAGGGAUGGGGACUCCCCCACCUCCCUGGGCAGCUUGUGCCAGUGCAUCACCGCUCUUCAAAGAAGAAAUUUUUCCCUGAUAUCCAAACUGAAUAUCUUUCCUAAUAUCCAUCCAGGGCUGCCCGGGGGCAGGGGAGGAGCUCAUUCCCAAGCAGCUCCGUUCCUGUCCUCGGAGAUGUGGCUGGAAGAGGACAGUGGGGACAGUGGGUCCCAUGGGAUCAGGCUACACAAGGAAACCUUUCCCAUCACCCCAGCACCGCUUGUGCACACAGCAGGAGGACAGAGCAAAGGACUUAGAGGAGCAUACUGAGCCGAAGUUCAUCGUGGAGGUGGCUAAUCUCUCCUUCAUGCCCCUGUACUUCUAAAAAACUGUACGAGUGAGCAGAAAUCCGCCGUAUUUCAGACAUCCUGUGAAAGGUUGGAUCCCAGGACAGCCGCCCCUUGGGGAGGAGGAGAUGUGUGACCUUGUUUCGCUGAGCAAGCACAUCUGCGGCUGCGGUAUGCAUGCUGUAAGCACUUGCAGCUCAGGCAGGGAGGAGGUCACGUUGCAGGCGGGCUACCUGCCAUGUGGGGCUCGGGGGGUUCAUGCAGCAGGAUGAGACACAGGGAAUGGAAGCAGUCAGAUGAAACCACAAAAGCAGAAGGAGAGCUGUGCGCAGCCCCUUGCAAAGCUGGAAAAUGACUUACACCAUCAAUGCACCUGCUUCGUUCUAACAAAGCAACUGCAUACGGUCCCAUCCAGCUACAAGGGCUCAGCCAGGAGAGGUGGGAUUCUGUAAGAUCAGUUUUCAUUGCGAUUUUGCCUAAUUAGUCUCUGAUAAUUAAUGCUGUGAAUGUAACCGAGAUGUAAUCAGACAAAAUGUUGGGAAGUAAACCCCAUGGAUGCCAUACAUCUUUUGAUAGUAAUGAUUAUGUUCUUUUUUAUUAUUAAAGAUCCCAUUAGAAAGAAUUUAUGAUUUUCCUCUUUGUGAGAGAAAUAAUAAACACUACAUUGGAUGCUCUUAUUUUUUGUAU